UACGUAGGAGACGAGCGUUGUCCGGAAUCACUGGGCGUAAAGCGCGUGUAGGCGGAUCGGCAAGUCUGCUGUGAAAGCUCCUGGCUUAACGGACGUGUCGGUGGAAGACUGCCAAUCUGGAGGACGGUAGAGGUAGGUAGAAUUCCCGGUGUAGUGGUGAAAUGCGUAGAGAUCCGGAGGAACACCAGUGGCGCAGGCGGCUCUCGUGGGCCGAUACUGACGCUGAGGAGCGAAAGCGUGGGAGCGAACAGG
RNAcentral lists this ribosomal RNA (252 nucleotides) under uncultured bacterium. RNAcentral describes it as "partial 16S ribosomal RNA". It matches the Rfam family "Bacterial small subunit ribosomal RNA", at positions 524 to 776 of the family's 1533-position model. The record is from RNAcentral.